RNAcentral lists this ribosomal RNA (371 nucleotides) under uncultured bacterium. Its description in RNAcentral is "bacterial SSU rRNA". It matches the Rfam family "Bacterial small subunit ribosomal RNA", at positions 794 to 1163 of the family's 1533-position model. The record is from RNAcentral.
UCCACGCUGUAAACGAUGGAUACUAGACGUUGGUAUCAUUAAAGAUAUCAGUGUCGCAGUUAACGCGAUAAGUAUCCCGCCUGGGGAGUACGGCCGCAAGGUUAAAACUCAAAGGAAUUGACGGGGACCCGCACAAGCGGUGGAGCAUGUGGUUUAAUUCGAUACAACGCGAAGAACCUUACCUACCCUUGACAUCCACAGAACUUUCCAGAGAUGGAUCGGUGCCUUCGGGAACUGUGAGACAGGUGCUGCAUGGCUGUCGUCAGCUCGUGUUGUGAAAUGUUGGGUUAAGUCCCGCAACGAGCGCAACCCUUAUCUUUAGUUGCCAUCAGGUAAUGCUGGGCACUCUAGAGAGACUGCCGCUGAUAAGG